This 645-nucleotide ribosomal RNA is filed under the name Trochalus sp. DA3951. RNAcentral describes it as "eukaryotic LSU rRNA". It matches the Rfam family "Eukaryotic large subunit ribosomal RNA", at positions 663 to 1265 of the family's 3401-position model. The record is from RNAcentral. Lineage: Eukaryota; Metazoa; Arthropoda; Insecta; Coleoptera; Scarabaeidae.
GGACCAAGGAGUCUAGCAUGUGCGCGAGUCAUUGGGAUAUUGACUAAACCUAAAGGCGCAAUGAAAGUGAAGGUCCGCCUUGCGCGGGCCGAGGGAGGAUGGUCGGUCCCGAGGGACCGACUCGCACUCCCGGGGCGUCUCGUUCUCAUCGCGAGAAGAGGCGCACCCAGAGCGUACACGCUGGGACCCGAAAGAUGGUGAACUAUGCCUGGUCAGGACGAAGUCAGGGGAAACCCUGAUGGAGGUCCGUAGCGAUUCUGACGUGCAAAUCGAUCGUCGGAACUGGGUAUAGGGGCGAAAGACUAAUCGAACCAUCUAGUAGCUGGUUCCCUCCGAAGUUUCCCUCAGGAUAGCUGGCGCUCGCUUCUCGCGAGUCUCAUUCGGUAAAGCGAAUGAUUAGAGGCAUUGGGGUCGAAACGGCCUCAACCUAUUCUCAAACUUUAAAUGGGUGAGAUCUCCGGCUUGCUUGAACUGUGAAGCCGCGAGAUAUCGGAUCAGAGUGCCAAGUGGGCCACUUUUGGUAAGCAGAACUGGCGCUGUGGGAUGAACCAAACGCCGAGUUAAAGCGCCUAAAUCGACGCUUAUGGGAUACCAUGAAAGGCGUUGGUAACUUAAGACAGCAGGACGGUGGCCAUGGAAGUCGGA